GUGUUCAUGUCAGCAGCACAUAGACUAGAACUAGAAUGAUGGAGAGAAGGUUAGCAGGGCUCAUGUGCAGGCCUGACAUGGAAAUUCAGGAAGUGUUCUGUUACAAA
RNAcentral lists this small nuclear RNA (107 nucleotides) under Erinaceus europaeus (western European hedgehog). Lineage: Eukaryota; Metazoa; Chordata; Mammalia; Eulipotyphla; Erinaceidae. The record is from RNAcentral.